UUAUUGAAGUUCAUGAUAUUUAUUCUUGUUCAUCGAAUACAUCACAUAACCGUACAAUCUAGAUAGGGGAUUCUAAAUUAUUAAGAGAAACAUUUCUCACACAUAUUAAUUAAACUUUUAAACUUGAAAGUGCCUAUGUUUUUGUUUUUCAAGUAGCCAUGGUCCUUAGACGUCUCUUGGGUAUGACAUUCAAAGGCACAAACUUUCUCACUGUCAUCCCAAUGUUUUCUCUCAUAUCUAAGGUUUCUGGAAUUGAACCUUUGACAAGCUCCCAGUCAAAACAUUGAAUUAAAGAUGCAAGACCAAGGAGAACUAUUCGUUGAGCCAAUACCAUACCUACACAAAUCCGUCUCCCUGAUCCAAAUGGAAUUAGCUCAAAAUUUUGCCCUUUGUAGUCAAUGCUUGAACCAAGAAAUCUCUCAGGCUUGAAGGACAAUGGAUCUUCCCAAGAAUCUGGAUCUCUUCCUAUUGCCCAUACAUUCACAAGAACUUGAGUAUCUUUGGGUAUGUGGUACCCCCAUGAAAUCUGUAUCUUGUAUUGUAUUUCUCGGAACGAGUAAAGGAACCGGAGGACGGAGCCGAAGUGUUUCCUUCAAAACAGCUUGCAAAUAUGGCAGCUUCUCUAUGUCAAUCUCUUCAACAUUUCUAUUUACUCCAACAACUUCAUUGAGUUCUUCUUUAACCUUUCUCAUGGCUUCAGGUUUGCGAAGUAACUCUGCCAUGGUCCAUUCUACUACUGUGCUUGUACUGUCUGACCCAGUCAUAAACAUUUCCAUUAUGAUUAUGAUGAUUUUUUCAUAUGGGAUCUUCUCUUGCCAAUCUUUUCCGUCACCUUCAAAUUCCAACAAUGUGUCUAGGAAGUCCUUAGCCUUCUUCUCAUUCGGUUUGUGCUUCUCAAUCCUCUCUUUCACAAACCCUUCAAUAAUCUCUAUCGCUCGUCCCAGUUCUUUCAACAUGUUCUUCUUUAGUCCUUGUGGAUCUAACCAUUUCAAGAAAGGUAGAAAGUCUGCUACAUUUGGCUUCCCUGCCCACACUGAAGUCUUUCCUAUGGCUUGAAAGAAUUCAUACCCUUCUUUACUUUGUGAAUGCAAAAGGUCUCGUGACAGCAUGAGGUUCCCAAUUAUGUUAAAUAACAUUGUGGAGAGAUAGUGACGUAAAUUCACUGCGACUGAUUCUCCCCUUGCACCUCCAGCUGUCGCAUCAUCUUCAAUACUCCUUAUCAUUUGAUCAAUGCAUUUUCGCCGUAUGGAGGCUGUCUCAUUGAUUCGCUUAUUGGUCAUCAUUUCCAUAGAGCAAAGACGCCUAAGCAUGCGCCAGUACGGGCUAAACUGGCCGACUGCAAGUGACCCAUCCCUGUAGUUAUGACUCGUUAACACAUCAAGACACUUACGAUCACAGAAGUUGGCGUCGUGAUUCUUGAACAGCUCUGCCGCAGCCUUGGCCGACUGUAUCACCACCGUUUCCAUGGAUCCUAGUCUUAACCGGAGCACAGGUCCAUACUUCAACUUAAGCUCUUGCAGAGUUUGAUGGGGCACGGUUCCAAGAUCGAAAAUAUUGCCCAAAAGUGGCCAUCCUGGAGGCCCUGGAGGCAGGUUCUUGGUUCCCUUUCCCCACUGUUUUCCAUUUAGGCACAGAACCAGAGCUAGUGAUAAGAAAAGAGUUGAGCAAACAAGGACACUGUACAUGUAAUCCAUUCCUCUCCUGUGUUUUGAGACGGCUACUGCCAGCAGCUGCUUUUUACAAGAUA
RNAcentral lists this unclassified non-coding RNA (1747 nucleotides) under Hevea brasiliensis (rubber tree). Lineage: Eukaryota; Viridiplantae; Streptophyta; Magnoliopsida; Malpighiales; Euphorbiaceae. The record is from RNAcentral.